AGGCUGAGAACUUCUGCUUUAGAAGGUUG
RNAcentral lists this non-coding RNA (29 nucleotides) under Cricetulus griseus (Chinese hamster). Lineage: Eukaryota; Metazoa; Chordata; Mammalia; Rodentia; Cricetidae. The record is from RNAcentral.